RNAcentral lists this ribosomal RNA (375 nucleotides) under Triticum aestivum (bread wheat). Its description in RNAcentral is "partial small subunit ribosomal RNA". Lineage: Eukaryota; Viridiplantae; Streptophyta; Magnoliopsida; Poales; Poaceae. The record is from RNAcentral.
UCAGGUCAAAAAAUUAAUCAUGACAAGUCCUCAGUGUUCUUUAGUAAGGGAUGCCCAGAAAACCUGAGGGAGGAGGUUAUGACUUCUCUCGGUGUUACUAAAGAAGCCUUAAAUGAUAGAUACCUUGACAUGCCGUCUGAUGUUGGUAAAUCCAAAAAUGGUACUUUCAAGUAUCUCAAAGAUAGAGUCUAGAAGAAAGUACAGGGGUGGCUUGAAAAGUUGUUAUCAGUUGGAGGCAAAGAGGUGUUGAUCAAGUCUGUCGUUCAAGCUAUUCCGGUAUACUCAAUGUCGUGCUUUAAACUCCCAAGGGGCCUUUGUGAACACAUCAAUUCGAUCAUCCGCAAAUUCUGGUGGAGAAGCAAGAACGGAGUUUGA